UACGAAGGGGGCUAGCGUUGCUCGGAAUCACUGGGCGUAAAGGGUGCGUAGGCGGGUCUUUAAGUCAGGGGGGAAGUCCUGGAGCUCAACUCCAGAACUGCCUUUGAUACUGAAGAUCUUGAGUUCGGGAGAGGUGAGUGGAACUGCGAGUGUAGAGGUGAAAUUCGUAGAUAUUCGCAAGAACACCAGUGGCGAAGGCGGCUCACUGGCCCGAUACUGACGCUGAUGCACGAAAGCGUGGGGAGCAAACAGG
This 253-nucleotide ribosomal RNA is filed under the name uncultured bacterium. RNAcentral's name for it is "partial 16S ribosomal RNA". It matches the Rfam family "Bacterial small subunit ribosomal RNA", at positions 524 to 776 of the family's 1533-position model. The record is from RNAcentral.